UCCCUGGCGGUCCAGUGGUUAAGACUCCGCACUCGCGAUGCGGGGGGUACAGGUUCGAUCCCUGGUCAGGGAA
Lagenorhynchus albirostris (white-beaked dolphin) is the source of this 73-nucleotide non-coding RNA. NCBI's taxonomy places the organism in Eukaryota, Metazoa, Chordata, Mammalia, Artiodactyla, Delphinidae. The record is from the annotation of a RefSeq genome assembly.